Molecule: ribosomal RNA, 253 nt
Filed under: uncultured bacterium
Lineage: Bacteria
Description: partial 16S ribosomal RNA
Rfam family: Bacterial small subunit ribosomal RNA
Source: RNAcentral
UACGUAGGGGGCUAGCGUUGUCCGGAAUCAUUGGGCGUAAAGCGCGUGUAGGCGGUCCGGUAAGUCCGCUGUGAAAGUCGAGGGCUCAACCCUCGAAUGCCGGUGGAUACUGUCGGGCUUGAGUACGGGAGAGGCGAGUGGAAUUCCUGGUGUAGCGGUGAAAUGCGCAGAUAUCAGGAGGAACACCGAUGGCGAAGGCAGUGUUCUGGGCCAGUACUGACGCUGAGGAGCGAAAGCGUGGGUAGCAAACAGG